RNAcentral lists this transfer RNA (73 nucleotides) under Rhodotorula toruloides. RNAcentral describes it as "tRNA-Gln". It matches the Rfam family "tRNA". From Rfam's summary of the family: Transfer RNA (tRNA) molecules are approximately 80 nucleotides in length. Their secondary structure includes four short double-helical elements and three loops (D, anti-codon, and T loops). Further hydrogen bonds mediate the characteristic L-shaped molecular structure. tRNAs have two regions of fundamental functional importance: the anti-codon, which is responsible for specific mRNA codon recognition, and the 3' end, to which the tRNAs corresponding amino acid is attached (by aminoacyl-tRNA synthetases). tRNAs cope with the degeneracy of the genetic code in two manners: having more than one tRNA (with a specific anti-codon) for a particular amino acid; and 'wobble' base-pairing, i.e. permitting non-standard base-pairing at the 3rd anti-codon position. The record is from RNAcentral. RNAcentral also lists the same sequence under 2 other names. Lineage: Eukaryota; Fungi; Basidiomycota; Microbotryomycetes; Sporidiobolales; Sporidiobolaceae.
GGAGCUAUCGUCUAGUGGUUUAGGACGCAAGGUUUUGAUCCUUGCAACCUGGGUUCGAACCCCAGUAGCUCCU